GACGAACGCUGGCGGCGUGCUUAACACAUGCAAGUCGAACGAAGCUUGAUUACUGAUUCUUCGGGUGAAGUAUGAUAUGACUGAUUGGCGGACGGGUGAGUAACGCGUGAGUAACCUGCCCUUCCGAGGGGGAUAUCGUUUGGAAACGAACGGUAAUACCGCAUAAUGUAUUUUGACCGCAUGAUCGCAAUACCAAAGAUUUAUCGCUGAAGGAUUGACUCGCGUCUGAUUAGGUAGGUGGUGGGGUAACGGCCUACCAAGCCGACGAUCAGUAGCCGGAAGGAGAGGUUGAGCGGCCACAUUGGGACUGAGACACGGCCCAGACACCUACGGGAGGCAGCAGUGGGGAAUAUUGCACAAGGGGCGCAAGCCUGAUGCAGCAACGCCGCGUGAAGGAAGACGGUUUUCGGAUUGUAAACUUCUGUUCUUAGUGAAGAAGAAUGACGGUAGCGAAGGAGCAAGCAACGGCUAACUACGUG
Molecule: ribosomal RNA, 479 nt
Filed under: uncultured bacterium
Lineage: Bacteria
Description: partial 16S ribosomal RNA
Rfam family: Bacterial small subunit ribosomal RNA
Source: RNAcentral